Molecule: long non-coding RNA, 235 nt
Filed under: Malus domestica (apple)
Lineage: Eukaryota; Viridiplantae; Streptophyta; Magnoliopsida; Rosales; Rosaceae
Description: long non-coding RNA (MDOM_LNC020676)
Source: RNAcentral
UGAAAAACAACGACAAGGAGAAGGACAGGGAGAAAGCAUGAUAUGAGAUACUCUUGCUUUCAACCUUCAUGAUAUGAAAUACUUUUGCUUUUGAUGGGUUGUUUGCAGAGGUAUCCUAAGGAAUAAGGAACACUGAGCGACUCGAGAGGCUUUGUUGGGAAGGCAUUCUCGGAGAUGAAGAAGGGUUAUGUAUGUCUGCCUUGCAAUAGAAGGUGAAGGUCGACAUUUAUAUGAA